This 81-nucleotide transfer RNA is filed under the name bovine gut metagenome. It matches the Rfam family "tRNA". Rfam says of the family: Transfer RNA (tRNA) molecules are approximately 80 nucleotides in length. The record is from RNAcentral.
GGUAGGUAGGUAAGUGGUCAAAACGGGCAGACUGUAAAUCUGUUGGCUGUCGCCUUCGGGGGUUCGAAUCCCUCCCUGCCC